GUGGGGAAUUUUGGACAAUGGGGGAAACCGUGAUCCAGCAAUGCCGCGUGUGUGAAGAAGGCCUUCGGGUUGUAAAGCACUUUUGUCCGGAAAGAAAUCCUCCUCGUUAAUACCGUGAGAGGAUGACGGUACCGGAAGAAUAAGCACCGGCUAACUACGUGCCAGCAGCCGCGGUAAUACGUAGGGUGCGAGCGUUAAUCGGAAUUACUGGGCGUAAAGCGUGCGCAGGCGGUUCGUUAAGACAGAUGUGAAAUCCCCGGGCUUAACCUGGGAACUGCAUUGGUGACUGGCGGGCUAGAGUAUGGCAGAGGGGGGUAGAAUUCCACGUGUAGCAGUGAAAUGCGUAGAGAUGUGGAGGAAUACCGAUGGCGAAGGCAGCCCCCUGGGCCAAUACUGACGCUCAUGCACAAAAGCGUGGGGAGCAAACAGGAUUAAAUACCCUGGUAGUCCACGCCCUAAACGAUGUCAACUAGUUGUUGGGGAUUCAUUUC
This 491-nucleotide ribosomal RNA is filed under the name uncultured bacterium. RNAcentral describes it as "bacterial SSU rRNA". It matches the Rfam family "Bacterial small subunit ribosomal RNA", at positions 354 to 838 of the family's 1533-position model. The record is from RNAcentral.